UACGGAGGGAGCUAGCGUUGUUCGGAAUUACUGGGCGUAAAGCGCGCGUAGGCGGCUUUGUAAGUUAGAGGUGAAAGCCCGGGGCUCAACCCCGGAACUGCCUUUAAGACUGCAUCGCUUGAAUCCGGGAGAGGUGAGUGGAAUUCCGAGUGUAGAGGUGAAAUUCGUAGAUAUUCGGAAGAACACCAGUGGCGAAGGCGGCUCACUGGACCGGCAUUGACGCUGAGGUGCGAAAGCGUGGGGAGCAACCAGG
This 253-nucleotide ribosomal RNA is filed under the name uncultured bacterium. RNAcentral's name for it is "partial 16S ribosomal RNA". It matches the Rfam family "Bacterial small subunit ribosomal RNA", at positions 524 to 776 of the family's 1533-position model. The record is from RNAcentral.